GGCCGACCCCCGCCACCGCCGACUCCGGCCACGGCGGCGGCGGCGGGGUGCUGCUGUCCGACGUCAGGAGGGAGAUCUACGACCGCCUGCGGGCCGUCGGCAACCAGGAGGCGCUCGCCGACCCCUUCUUCAACCGCGUGCUCGAGGACAACUACCAACGCCUCCCAGCAAGGUCCGUCCUUUCCGCCCACCCCCCGUCCACGCCCGCGUUUUCACCUCACCAACGCCUCUCUCUCUGUUUGUCUGUCUGUGUCCGCGCCCACCGGGGAUGCAGCCACUACAUCGACCUCGACGUGAGCAUGGAAACCAGGGAUCCCCCACAAUUACUGUUUUGAUUUGGAGCCAGAGGUUUGUCCUGCUGAAGGUACUGCACAAGGAAGCAGAGGAGCAUGAUAAUACAGUAAGCGACAGUGUGCAGGGAAGAUUUCAUGAGUUUAAUGGAUGGAUGAAUUUACCCUUAGGAAUCAGACGUGGAAGACGGGACGGUUGUCGGGGUCGGCGCACUCGGCGAGGAUCCGGCGAUGGAGCAGCAUGUCCUCCGCCUUGUUCACCAGCGUUCCUGCGUGGCAUAGUUCUGUAAGAAUUGUCAAAAGCUCAAAAGCGAAUGUUAGAAGCGUGGAGAAUGAGAAGACUGAUGGAACGGGAGCUUGACAGAAGGUCAAAUGAUUGGUCAGCCAGGCUGGCAAGAUUUCAAGCCGAAGAACAGCGACUACGGGAUAGAGUAAUGGAGCUAGCAGAGCAGAAUGUGUCAUUUCAGAGAGAAGUUACUUUGUUUGAAUCGAAACAAGUUGAGGCUUCUAACAAGAUUAGAAGUUUGGAAUUGCAAAACAAACAACUGAAUGAUGAGAUGGAGAAAGUUAAAGUUGAUUUUUGCAGGUAAAGUUGGUGUCCCGAAGCAGCUAUUUGUUAACACAGACCCAUUGUCAAUACCAGCUGCGGUUAUGAGGGCUGGGCUAUCACUUCCAUUAGGCAGGAAGGCAUGAAUUCAACGGCGAAAACUUCUAUCACGAUGGGGUCCCUCUAGGCGGGAAGGCAUGGACCCAACAACAAGGACAUCGAUUAUGAUGGAUUCAACCAGACUGCUCGAUUACUGAAUGACAUAAUAUGGUUAUGAUGUGGGUUCAUGGAGCUUGUAGAAGAGCAAAGUUUUACCUGCUUAUAACGUGUCCCCUUCUCCCGGUAGAGUUAACUACACAUGGAGGUUUGAGGAAGAGCUCGUUGGACGAAUUUUUCGCCCGGUGCAACGCACGGGCAUUUGUACUAGUAUAAAUAAGGAGCAAUACCUGCGGCGGACGGGUCAAGUGUCUUCCCCUCCAGUUCCACCGAAUCAAAGGGGGCGCUUGCAACGGAGACAACGGCGGAGGCGGCGGCGGCUCUGACAAGUCGCGCUGUAGCUUGCACCUCUUUAUCUGACGUCCAAGAUCUGACGGAGGGAAUUGGCCAAAGGGUAAGACAGCCCACAGAUUGUCAGUUUUCAGCAGAGACGCCCGCACUUGUAGUUUUCAACAGCACGGGCAACAAAAGCUAUGCACUGAGCACUCUUCAUAUUUAGAUUCUCAAAAAUAAAUUAUAAAAAGGAUAACUGAACCCAUUAUGCAGGAA
This is an RNA transcript of Hordeum vulgare subsp. vulgare (domesticated barley), 1602 nucleotides long. RefSeq lists it as uncharacterized. The transcript has 4 exons. The record is from RefSeq and is a predicted model, not a curated record. Lineage: Eukaryota; Viridiplantae; Streptophyta; Magnoliopsida; Poales; Poaceae.